Molecule: ribosomal RNA, 441 nt
Filed under: uncultured bacterium
Lineage: Bacteria
Description: bacterial SSU rRNA
Rfam family: Bacterial small subunit ribosomal RNA
Source: RNAcentral
UUACGGGAGGCAGCAGUGGGGAAUAUUGGUCAAUGGGGGAAACCCUGAACCAGCAACGCCGCGUGAAGGAAGAAGGUUUUCGGAUUGUAAACUUCUUUUGUCAGGGAAGAUAAUGACGGUACCUGACGAAUAAGCCACGGCUAACUACGUGCCAGCAGCCGCGGUAAUACGUAGGUGGCAAGCGUUGUCCGGAUUUACUGGGUGUAAAGGGCGUGUAGGCGGGAUCGCAAGUCAGAUGUGAAAACUAUGAGCUUAACUCAUAGCCUGCAUUUGAAACUGCGGUUCUUGAGUGAUGGAGAGGCAGAUGGAAUUCCCGGUGUAGCGGUGGAAUGCGUAGAUAUCGGGAGGAACACCAGUGGCGAAGGCGAUCUGCUGGACAUUAACUGACGCUGAGGCGCGAAAGUGUGGGGAGCAAACAGGAUUAGAUACCCGCGUAGUCCC